This 1408-nucleotide ribosomal RNA is filed under the name uncultured bacterium. RNAcentral's name for it is "16S ribosomal RNA". It matches the Rfam family "Bacterial small subunit ribosomal RNA". The record is from RNAcentral.
GAACGCUAGCGGCAGGCUUAACACAUGCAAGUCGAGGGGCAGCGGGGAGGAAGCUUGCUUUCUCCGCCGGCGACCGGCGCACGGGUGAGUAACACGUAUGCAACCUGCCCCUGUCAGGGGGACAACCCGCCGAAAGGCGGGCUAAACCCGCGUACAUGCCACCGGGGCAUCCCGGAGGCAGGAAAGGCUUCGGCCGGACAGGGAUGGGCAUGCGGCGCAUUAGGCAGUAGGCGGGGUAACGGCCCACCUAACCGACGAUGCGUAGGGGUUCUGAGAGGAAGGUCCCCCACACUGGUACUGAGACACGGACCAGACUCCUACGGGAGGCAGCAGUGAGGAAUAUUGGUCAAUGGUCGGGAGACUGAACCAGCCAAGCCGCGUGAGGGAUGAAGGUACAGAGUAUCGUAAACCUCUUUUGUCAGGGAACAAAGGCGGGGACGUGUCCCCGGAUGAGUGUACCUGAAGAAAAAGCAUCGGCUAACUCCGUGCCAGCAGCCGCGGUAAUACGGAGGAUGCGAGCGUUAUCCGGAUUUAUUGGGUUUAAAGGGUGCGCAGGCGGUCUGUUAAGUCAGCGGUCAAAGCCCGGGGCUCAACCCCGGCCCGCCGUUGAAACUGGCAGUCUCGAGUUGGAGAGAAGUAUGCGGAAUGCGCGGUGUAGCGGUGAAAUGCAUAGAUAUCGCGCAGAACUCCGAUUGCGAAGGCAGCAUGCCGGCUCCACACUGACGCUGAGGCACGAAAGCGUGGGUAUCGAACAGGAUUAGAUACCCUGGUAGUCCACGCAGUAAACGAUGAAUGCUGGCUGUCCGGGGGGGAUUGACCCCUGGGUGGCGAAGCGAAAGCGAUAAGCAUUCCACCUGGGGAGUACGCCGGCAACGGUGAAACUCAAAGGAAUUGACGGGGGCCCGCACAAGCGGAGGAACAUGUGGUUUAAUUCGAUGAUACGCGAGGAACCUUACCCGGGCUCAAACGGGGAGUGACUCAGGCAGAGACGCCUGUUUCCCACGGGACACUCCCCGAGGUGCUGCAUGGUUGUCGUCAGCUCGUGCCGUGAGGUGUCGGCUUAAGUGCCAUAACGAGCGCAACCCCCGCGUGCAGUUGCUAACAGAUAACGCUGAGGACUCUGCACGGACUGCCGGCGCAAGCCGCGAGGAAGGCGGGGAUGACGUCAAAUCAGCACGGCCCUUACAUCCGGGGCGACACACGUGUUACAAUGGGUGGUACAGCGGGAAGCCAGGCGGCGACGCCGAGCGGAACCCGAAAUCCACUCUCAGUUCGGAUCGGAGUCUGCAACCCGACUCCGUGAAGCUGGAUUCGCUAGUAAUCGCGCAUCAGCCAUGGCGCGGUGAAUACGUUCCCGGGCCUUGUACACACCGCCCGUCAAGCCAUGGGAGCCGAGGGCGCUUGAAGU